CUGAUAUCUUGCACCUGUGUGUUCUUUAACCUGGCCCCUGCCUCAGGCUGACAUGCUCAUAGUAGGCCUUGUCAGAGAUGACUGGAUCUAGGGCAGUGGUGGCCAACCUGUGUGUGGCAUGCAUGCUGCACUGGGCACGCAGAGCCGUGACAGCAUGCGGGCCAAGGCAGAAUCUACUCUUACGGAAAGAGCAGCUAUAUGAGGUUACUAUCCUACAAACUGGC
This 224-nucleotide long non-coding RNA is filed under the name Cavia porcellus (domestic guinea pig). RNAcentral's name for it is "lncRNA (ENSCPOG00000036231.1)". Lineage: Eukaryota; Metazoa; Chordata; Mammalia; Rodentia; Caviidae. The record is from RNAcentral.